Molecule: ribosomal RNA, 435 nt
Filed under: uncultured bacterium
Lineage: Bacteria
Description: partial 16S ribosomal RNA
Rfam family: Bacterial small subunit ribosomal RNA
Source: RNAcentral
AGCGAACGCUGGCGGCAGGCUUAACACAUGCAAGUCGAACGGGCAUAGCAAUAUGUCAGUGGCAGACGGGUGAGUAACGCGUGGGAACGUACCUUUUGGUUCGGAACAACACAGGGAAACUUGUGCUAAUACCGGGUAAGCCCUUACGGGGAAAGAUUUAUCGCCGAAAGAUCGGCCCGCGUCUGAUUAGCUAGUUGGUAGGGUAAUGGCCUACCAAGGCGACGAUCAGUAGCUGGUCUGAGAGGAUGAUCAGCCACAUUGGGACUGAGACACGGCCCAAACUCCUACGGGAGGCAGCAGUGGGGAAUAUUGGACAAUGGGCGAAAGCCUGAUCCAGCCAUGCCGCGUGAGUGAUGAAGGCCCUAGGGUUGUAAAGCUCUUUUGUGCGGGAAGAUAAUGACGGUACCGCAAGAAUAAGCCCCGGCUAACUUCGUG